RNAcentral lists this transfer RNA (67 nucleotides) under Synergus sp. ZJUH_2016033. RNAcentral's name for it is "tRNA-Asp". Lineage: Eukaryota; Metazoa; Arthropoda; Insecta; Hymenoptera; Cynipidae. The record is from RNAcentral.
AAAAAAUUAGUUAAAAUAUAACAUUAAAAUGUCAAAUUAAAAUAAUUAAAUAAUUUAAUAUUUUUUA